Molecule: long non-coding RNA, 676 nt
Filed under: Solanum tuberosum (potato)
Lineage: Eukaryota; Viridiplantae; Streptophyta; Magnoliopsida; Solanales; Solanaceae
Description: long non-coding RNA (STUB_LNC005382)
Source: RNAcentral
AAUUUGCUAAACUUUCAUUAUGUUUAUUCAAAUAAAAAAAAAUCACAAGGGAUCAUUUGUUCAUUUUCCCUUUUCACAACUUCCUAAAGCACAACAUUUGUUCGGUAACAAGGGAUUGACAAAAAUAUUUUUAAUUGGCUUAAGUCAAUUGGUUCCAACAAUGUGACAUUUGAAUUACAUUAAGUGGAAACCUAUGACAGGUACCCAGACACUGGAUGAAAAAACAAUGUAGUUGCUCGAUCUGAACUACUUAAUCCACGUGCUAGAUUGACCAUCCGCAGUGUAUGCACAAACUACUUCUACCAUGUAGAUUUGCAGUAGUUAAUCCACACUUCUUUUGGACAGUGAAACUAGGUAUUCUGGUCCAAAAGAGAUCAAUCAUGAGGGAGGACGAACCUCAACUUCACCUCAUACUCCAGCUUCCUCCACUGUCUCACACUUAUAGAUUAAUGCUUCAUCGUUUUUGCAAACUCCCUGCCAUAACAUGAGAGAUAUUUGUAUUUAGAACAAAAAUUUCCUCUUUUAUAAUAACCACAAAGAGCAUCAAAAUGAACUAUUAAUAACAGAAAGCAAAGCGAGAAGUUUAGAUACAUAUCGAGAUAUAUACCUCUACUUAUGACCUUUGUUUCUUAGAAGAGGAACAACUGGCUUCUUCAUGAUGUUCACUAUCGUCNNN